Molecule: ribosomal RNA, 466 nt
Filed under: uncultured bacterium
Lineage: Bacteria
Description: partial 16S ribosomal RNA
Rfam family: Bacterial small subunit ribosomal RNA
Source: RNAcentral
CGAACGCUGGCGGCGUGCUUAACACAUGCAAGUCGAACGGAAAGGCCCUGCUUUUGUGGGGUGCUCGAGUGGCGAACGGGUGAGGAACACGUGAGUAACCUGCCCUUGACUUUGGGAUAACUUCAGGAAACUGGGGCUAAUACCGGAUAGGAGCUCCUGCUGCAUGGUGGGGGGUGGAAAGUUUCGGCGGUUGGGGAUGGACUCGCGGCUUAUCAGCUUGUUGGUGGGGUAGUGGCUUACCAAGGCUUUGACGGGUAGCCGGCCUGAGAGGGUGACCGGCCACAUUGGGACUGAGAUACGGCCCAGACUCCUACGGGAGGCAGCAGUGGGGAAUAUUGCACAAUGGGCGGAAGCCUGAUGCAGCAACGCCGCGUGCGGGAUGACGGCCUUCGGGUUGUAAACCGCUUUCGCCCGUGACGAAGCGUGAGUGACGGUAAUGGGUAAAGAAGCACCGGCUAACUACGUG